RNAcentral lists this ribosomal RNA (484 nucleotides) under uncultured bacterium. RNAcentral describes it as "partial 16S ribosomal RNA". It matches the Rfam family "Bacterial small subunit ribosomal RNA", at positions 30 to 507 of the family's 1533-position model. The record is from RNAcentral.
AUUGAACGCUGGCGGCAGGCCUAACACAUGCAAGUCGAGCGGAUGAAGGGAGCUUGCUCCUGGAUUCAGCGGCGGACGGGUGAGUAAUGCCUAGGAAUCUGCCUGGUAGUGGGGGAUAACGUCCGGAAACGGGCGCUAAUACCGCAUACGUCCUGAGGGAGAAAGUGGGGGAUCUUCGGACCUCACGCUAUCAGAUGAGCCUAGGUCGGAUUAGCUAGUUGGUGGGGUAAAGGCCUACCAAGGCGACGAUCCGUAACUGGUCUGAGUGGAUGAUCAGUCACACGGGAGCGGAGACACGGUCCAGACUCCUACGGGAGGCAGCAGUGGGGAAUAUUGGACAAUGGGCGAAAGCCUGAUCCAGCCAUGCCGCGUGUGUGAAGAAGGUCUUCGGAUUGUAAAGCACUUUAAGUUGGGAGGAAGGGCAGUAAGUUAAUACCUUGCUGUUUUGACGUUACCAACAGAAUAAGCACCGGCUAACUUCGUG